This 1333-nucleotide long non-coding RNA is filed under the name Cairina moschata (Muscovy duck). RNAcentral describes it as "domestica (muscovy Duck (domestic type)) lncRNA (ENSCMMG00000006534.1)". Lineage: Eukaryota; Metazoa; Chordata; Aves; Anseriformes; Anatidae. The record is from RNAcentral.
UGAAAAAUGCCUUUAGAUUAGCUAUGAAGCAACUGACUGAAAGGUGACCUGAGAAAUAAGAGCCAACAUGACCUAUUAUUGGAGCAAAUAAUCUGUGGAGGCUUAAUAAAUGAAGAGAAAAUAAAAGUAAGGUCAGGAAGGAAACGUUUGGUAGCAGUCAAUACAGUGAUUAGAGAGCAAGUUUCAGGAAUGUCUCAGAAGGACAAAGAGGUUACAUCAGCACAUCAGAAACACUGUUUUUUCAGAGAUGAUGCCAGGAAAUGUGGCCUUGCCUUGAGACAUGAAUUCACCAAGUUGCGGGCCAACAAACUACUGUAAGCAUUUCUCAUGGACCACCGUGACCUUCCUUCACAAGUCCGAGAUGGAAACAUUCAGAAUUGAAGAGAAAACCUCACCCAGAGCCUGAGGACCGCUCGCCACCCACAGCACACGGUGUGGGAACUUCUGCUCUAACGCAACGAAGCAUCUAGCGUGUGACUCACCCAAUACCUGCAUACCAUGAAAAGGAAACAAAGCCUCAUAACUCCUCUCUGGAGAUCCACAGUUAUCUUGCCUACUCUGGGCUGUGGGGACACAUAGCCUAUCAAACCCAAGGUCCUUGCUACUGCACACAACAGAGCCAGCAGUGACACUGGAGAGGGGAAGAGCCCUCCAUGAAGCUGUGCGGGAAAGGAGGUGGCAAGGGCUGUUUUUUCUUAGGCAAAGCUUGACUUGUUUAUACUGAAGCCUUCAACAUACUGCUUAUUGCUGGACAAGCAGAUCAAAGCAAAGGGCAAUAUUAUAUAUUUAUGUAGCUUCAACAGCGUGUUAGGCACUUAAUUUGCCAUCUUGGGCUGCUCCUUUUGCUGUGAUAUUUCAGACAGGGAUUCUCAUUUAUCACACUGAUCCCACUCAGGAACUGGAGCACAAGGUCAGCUAUCAUUGGCUCUGUCAUGCUUAAAGGCUGCAGAGCUCUGGUAAUUAAGACUGUUAGAUGGGAGGGCCUCUUUUCCUGCUAUUUGAUGUAGAGUAGGUGCAGAUGAAAGAUUUAUAGUUUUAAUUCAAAUAUGGGACUUGUCUUUGACAACUUAAUUGUGUUUGCAGAGAAGUUCUGGACCCUUUCUCUUGCCAAGUCAUUACAGAAAGGCCUCACAUCUUGGAUCUACCAGGAAGCUGUUUGGAUUAAAUGAAAUAACCAAAGGGACUCUGCAUUAGUGCUGAUAGAAGCAAUAAACAUUUGCUUGUCCUUCUUUUGCUUGUAGUAAAUAUGUGCAUGUUGCUUAAGACAGUACAUUUUCUUAAUUCAAGGCCAAAGUAGGUAUAUGUUUUCCUAACUUAUUUUCUGUGUCUAUAU